AAUAUUUGUAAUUCUAUAAAGAAAAAGCUCAAGAACAUCUGGGGAUGAUUGCGUGUUCCAUCUCAAACCAUGUACAAUCAAUCAGCUUCAGAUUAUAAUAGCUUUGAAACAAUGAUAUUGAAAGUUUUUUCAUCGUUCUAAAUUUAUGCUACAGUUAUGGUCGUAAAAGAUUAAGAAAAAUCUUAUGGGUGCAAUUAUUCCACUGACACCUGCGAAAUUAC
This is a long non-coding RNA of Hydra vulgaris (swiftwater hydra), 221 nucleotides long. RefSeq lists it as uncharacterized. The record is from RefSeq and is a predicted model, not a curated record. Lineage: Eukaryota; Metazoa; Cnidaria; Hydrozoa; Anthoathecata; Hydridae.